UCGUACGAUGGAACCCUUAAGGGUGGAUUAGUGGCGAACGGGUGAGUAAAAGAGGGGAAUCUGCCCUGCACUCUGGGACAAGCCCUGGAAACGGGGUCUAAUACCGGAUAUGACUGUCCACCGCAUGGUGGAUGGUGUAAAGCUCCGGCGGUGCAGGAUGAGCCCGCGGCCUAUCAGCUAGUUGGUGAGGUAGUGGCUCACCAAGGCGACGACGGGUAGCCGGCCUGAGAGGGCGACCGGCCACACUGGGACUGAGACACGGCCCAGACUCCUACGGGAGGCAGCAGUGGGGAAUAUUGCACAAUGGGCGAAAGCCUGAUGCAGCGACGCCGCGUGAGGGAUGACGGCCUUCGGGUUGUAAACCUCUUUCAGCAGGGAAGAAGCGAAAGUGACGGUACCUGCAGAAGAAGCGCCGGCUAACUACGUGCCAGCAGCCGCGGUAAUACGUAGGGCGCAAGCGUUGUCCGGAAUUAUUGGGCGUAAAGAGCUCGUAGGCGGCUUGUCACGUCGGUUGUGAAAGCCCGGGGCUUAACCCCGGGUCUGCAGUCGAUACGGGCAGGCUAGAGUUCGGUAGGGGAGAUCGGAAUUCCUGGUGUAGCGGUGAAAUGCGCAGAUAUCAGGAGGAACACCGGUGGCGAAGGCGGAUCUCUGGGCCGAUACUGACGCUGAGGAGCGAAAGCGUGGGGAGCGAACAGGAUUAGAUACCCUGGUAGUCCACGCCGUAACGGUGGGCACUAGGUGUGGGCACAUUUCCACGUUGUCCGUGCCGCAGCUAACGCAUUAAGUGGCCCCGCCUGGGGAGUACGGCCGCAAGGCUAAACUUCAAAGGAUUGACCGGGGCCCGCACAGGCGGCGGAGCCAUGUUGCUUAAUUCGACUGCAACGCGCGAAGAACCCUUACCGUAGGCCUGGACAUACACCGGAAAGCAUCAGAGAUGGUGCCCCCCUUGUGGUCGGUGUACAGGUGGUGCAUGGCUGUCGUCAGCUCGUGUCGUGAGAUGUUGGGUUAAGUCCCGCAACGAGCGCAACCCUUGUCCCGUGUUGCCAGCAGGCCCUUGUGGUGCUGGGGACUCACGGGAGACCGCCGGGGUCAACUCGGAGGAAGGUGGGGACGACGUCAAGUCAUCAUGCCCCUUAUGUCUUGGGCUGCACACGUGCUACAAUGGCCGGUACAAUGAGCUGCGAUACCGCGAGGUGGAGCGAAUCUCAAAAAGCCGGUCUCAGUUCGGAUUGGGGUCUGCAACUCGACCCCAUGAAGUCGGAGUCGCUAGUAAUCGCAGAUCAGCAUUGCUGCUAUGAAUACGUUCCCGGGCCUUGUACACCCGCCCGUCCCGUCUACCAAAGUCGUACACC
This 1352-nucleotide ribosomal RNA is filed under the name Streptomyces sp. 05CM038. RNAcentral describes it as "bacterial SSU rRNA". It matches the Rfam family "Bacterial small subunit ribosomal RNA", at positions 62 to 1420 of the family's 1533-position model. The record is from RNAcentral. Lineage: Bacteria; Bacillati; Actinomycetota; Actinomycetes; Kitasatosporales; Streptomycetaceae.